Long non-coding RNA from Cynoglossus semilaevis (tongue sole), 1693 nucleotides. RefSeq lists it as uncharacterized. The transcript is spliced from 7 exons. Lineage: Eukaryota; Metazoa; Chordata; Actinopteri; Pleuronectiformes; Cynoglossidae. The record is from RefSeq and is a predicted model, not a curated record.
CAGACACACAGAACAAACACUGUCUUCACAAAGACUGGACAAAGGUCAAGCAUCCAGGGCAAAAGUGCAGUCACUGAUGGUUGACAGCAGUACAAAUGUUCUGUUCUGAUCUUUGGUCAGUGUCUCUGGGAACAACUCCAGCAGGUGGCUGUGAUGAAACCCACAAGAAUCAAACCCACAGAAGAAGAAAAGAAGGCAGAAGUUACAUGAAGCUACAUGCUAAAUGCUCAUAUUCUCAGUGUGGAGUGAAUUAAAACUUAUUCCAUAAAUAUGACAGGACAGACUGGACUGUCAUCAUCAGCAUGGGUGGAGACAGAAAAGGACUUGUUAGGACUGGAACACAUGGACAAUCUGUUCAUCAGAGUCGUUGAACUCAUCUUAAGGAAAGAAAGGAGGAUGGAUUUCGUCCUCAAAUAAUCAGAAGUAUCGGCUUCAGGACUAUCAGGUUGGGACUAUGUUCAGUUUUAAGAAUGCACAGAACCUUCUCCUCUGCUGCCUUCUUGGUCUCUUCAUCCAUCCAGAUGGAACGUUGUACAGAAGAGAAUACUGACGGUGAGAGGUUGGACAGAAAAGAAGGAGAAAAUCAUUUUUUAUUAAUUUAACGGAGAGAAGGAGAGCUGGAAAAAACCUGCAGCAGUUACUUCUUGCCUGUCAUCAAGAAGCUUUUGAAGACUCGGCUCUUCAGAGAGCACCUCCUGCCCAAUCACUGUCCUCCACUUCCCUUCUCCUUCUGCACUUGUCUCCUCCUCUGCUCUCUCACACCAGUUAAGUUGUCCCACUUUCCUAACUAGUGUCUCUUUCAAGAGUUCCUCUUUGUAGCUUGAUUAUUUAUCCUCCUCUUGUAAUUCCCUCUGGAUAAAAUCCUCUGUUACAUGAAUAAAUGUUAUUAUUAUUUCUUUAUAUUUUAUAUUUUAAACUUUGACAGUUUUGUUUCUUUCUUGAGAACUUUCAGCACAUACAGAUGCAGCAGUGGGUGAAGGCUGACUGACACCACUGUAUGUUUGAUGCUAAGCUAAGCUAAUGCACUCAAACACAGAGAGAAGUGUGUGCUUCAGUGUAGGUGGUGUGGGCAGAAGAAGUGGAGUGAGUGUAAAAAUAAACAGAAGGCUGAGCUGAAAAGUCAGAGCAGGACUCAAGUAUUAGCCCCCAGGAGGAACAAACACCAAUGUUCUCACAGAACAUGUGUGAAGAACUCACUUUAUACAGUACUGGUGAUGGGAUUAAUUACAAACAACAGACUUCUCUGGGUCCCCUCACUGGUCCAGACCAGUUUAACUAUUAGGUCGGACAAUAGAAAAAUGAAAAGUCAGAUCCAGGAAACAUCUACUGACCAGUUCUUUGCUCUUCUCAGAGAAAGCCUCCUGGACGUAGAGACGACCCACGGCGUUUUCCAUCUUGGUGCUGACAUACAGAGCACACUGUCUCCACACUGCAGCCUCUGACGUGGUACCGUACAGAACCUGAAGGAACAAGUACCAGACCCCGGUCAGAGCGGACCAGCUUCACCAGGUCAACCAUGAACUGCUCAUAGGCCUGGCAUUUCUGACAAGAGAGCCCUGGAGGAACCUCCUCCAGCCUCAGAUGUUCUUCACACAUCUCCAAAGAAGCACGUUGAGGUUUGACCUACAGGGGGCGGCAGGUGGGACAAGUGAGUAAGAAGAGCAAGAAGAAGAAGAGUCGAUGUCUGUGUCUG